CCUACGGGGGGCAGCAGUGGGGAAUAUUGGACAAUGGGGGCAACCCUGAUCCAACCAUGCCGCGUGUGUGAAGAAGGCCCUCGGGUUGUAAAGCACUUUCAGUGAGGAAGAACGCCUGGUGGUUAAUACCCAUCAGGAAAGACAUCACUCACAGAAGAAGCACCGGCUAACUCCGUGCCAGCAGCCGCGGUAAUACGGAGGGUGCGAGCGUUAAUCGGAAUUACUGGGCGUAAAGCGCGCGUAGGUGGCUUGAUAAGCCGGUUGUGAAAGCCCCGGGCUCAACCUGGGAACGGCAUCCGGAACUGGCAAGCUAGAGUGCAGGAGAGGAAGGUAGAAUUCCCGGUGUAGCGGUGAAAUGCGUAGAGAUCGGGAGGAAUACCAGUGGCGAAGGCGGCCUUCUGGACUGACACUGACACUGAGGUGCGAAAGCGUGGGUAGCAAACAGGAUUAGAUACCCCGGUAGUC
Molecule: ribosomal RNA, 465 nt
Filed under: Vreelandella stevensii
Lineage: Bacteria; Pseudomonadati; Pseudomonadota; Gammaproteobacteria; Oceanospirillales; Halomonadaceae
Description: partial 16S ribosomal RNA
Rfam family: Bacterial small subunit ribosomal RNA
Source: RNAcentral